This 1192-nucleotide ribosomal RNA is filed under the name Vollenhovia sp. CSM-2006. Its description in RNAcentral is "eukaryotic LSU rRNA". It matches the Rfam family "Eukaryotic large subunit ribosomal RNA", at positions 54 to 944 of the family's 3401-position model. The record is from RNAcentral. Lineage: Eukaryota; Metazoa; Arthropoda; Insecta; Hymenoptera; Formicidae.
AGGAAAAGAAACUAACCAGGAUUUCCCUAGUAGCGGCGAGCGAACAGGAAAGAGCCCAGCACCGAAUCCCGCGGUUUCGCCGCAGGGAAAUGUGGUGUUUGGGAGGGUCCGAUUAUCCCGAGGUGUCGCGCCGCGUCCAAGUCCAUCUUGAAUGGGGCCACUUACCCGCAGAGGGUGCCAGGCCCGUAGCGACCGGUGCGCGUCUCGGGAGGAUCUCUCCUUAGAGUCGGGUUGCUUGAGAGUGCAGCUCUAAGUGGGUGGUAAACUCCAUCUAAGGCUAAAUACGACCACGAGACCGAUAGCGAACAAGUACCGUGAGGGAAAGUUGAAAAGAACUUUGAAGAGAGAGUUCAAGAGUACGUGAAACCGUUCAGGGGUAAACCUAAGAAACCCAAAAGAUCGAACGGGGAGAUUCAUCGUCAGCGACGCUGGCUUCGCGUCGGUGGGCGAUGUCCCGCGGGGCCUCGCGGCCCGCGCGCGGGCACGCUGCCGUGCGUCGAUGUCCGGCGUUCGUCGUCGUGCACUUCUCCCCUAGUAGAACGUCGCGACCCGCUGGGUGUCGGUCUACGGCCCGGGUGCGGUGACUGACGCGUCGCCGGUAAAACGGCACGCGUCAAACCCCCGGUCGCCCGGCCGGCUGCCCGGCGGUACACGCAAGGUAUCAGGCCGCAACUCUCAAAACACGUAGAGUGCGUCGAGGCCGUCGCAAGCGCGCGCCACGGUACACGGAGGCUAACGGACCUGGCGCCGUCACCGGUCCUGGCCCGCUGUUGGUCGUACGGUUAACCUUCGACAGGCCUGCGAACGUCCCCCGCGGGGGACUACGUCGGCGACGCUACUGCUUUGGGUACUCUUAGGACCCGUCUUGAAACACGGACCAAGGAGUCUAACAUGUACGCGAGUCAUUGGGACUUGAGCGAUACCUAAAGGCGAAAUGAAAGUGAAGGUCGGCCCUGGUUGUCGACCGAGGGAGGAUGGGCCGCGUCGCGAUGCGGCUCCGCACUCCCGGGGCGUCUCGUUCUCAUCGCGAGAAGAGGCGCACCCAGAGCGUACACGUUGGGACCCGAAAGAUGGUGAACUAUGCCUGGUCAGGACGAAGUCAGGGGAAACCCUGAUGGAGGUCCGUAGCGAUUCUGACGUGCAAAUCGAUCGUCGGAACUGGGUAUAGGGGCGAAAGACUAAUCGAACCAUC